RNAcentral lists this microRNA (23 nucleotides) under Dasypus novemcinctus (nine-banded armadillo). RNAcentral's name for it is "dno-miR-508-3p". Its record names the gene dno-miR-508-3p. The record is from miRBase by way of RNAcentral. Lineage: Eukaryota; Metazoa; Chordata; Mammalia; Cingulata; Dasypodidae. RNAcentral also lists the same sequence under 1 other name.
UGAUUGUCACCUUUUUGAGUAGA